RNAcentral lists this transfer RNA (73 nucleotides) under Candidatus Kaiserbacteria bacterium RIFOXYD1_FULL_47_14. RNAcentral describes it as "tRNA-Ile". It matches the Rfam family "tRNA". Rfam says of the family: Transfer RNA (tRNA) molecules are approximately 80 nucleotides in length. Their secondary structure includes four short double-helical elements and three loops (D, anti-codon, and T loops). The record is from RNAcentral. Lineage: Bacteria; Candidatus Kaiseribacteriota.
GCGCGCGUAGCUCAAUUGGUAGAGCAGGCGUCUUAUACACGCCCGGUUCCAGGUCCGAGUCCUGGCGCGCGCA